AGGACGAACGCUGGCGGCGUGCUUAACACAUGCAAGUCACGGGGGGUCGCAAGACCAACCGGCGAACGGGUGCGUAACACGUGAGCGACCUGCCGAUUCGAGGGGGAUAGCCGGCCCGACGGCCGGGUAAUACCACAUACGCUCUUUGGCCCGCAUGGGUUGGAGAGGAAACCUCCGGGGGCGAAUCGAGGGGCUCGCGGCCUAUCAGCUAGUUGGCGGGUAACGCCACAAGGCAAUGACGGUAGCUGGUCUGAGAGGAUGGCCAGCCACAUUGGGACUGAGAGACGGCCCAGACUCCUACGGGAGGCAGCAGUGGGGAAUCGUGCGCAAUGGCCGAAAGGCUGACGCAGCGACGCCGCGUGGAGGAUCGACGCCGUUACGGGUCGUAAACGUCCGUAGGUUCGCCCGGGUAACGAACGACGU
RNAcentral lists this ribosomal RNA (423 nucleotides) under uncultured soil bacterium. RNAcentral describes it as "bacterial SSU rRNA". It matches the Rfam family "Bacterial small subunit ribosomal RNA", at positions 26 to 462 of the family's 1533-position model. The record is from RNAcentral.